This 497-nucleotide ribosomal RNA is filed under the name uncultured Streptococcus sp. Its description in RNAcentral is "partial 16S ribosomal RNA". The record is from RNAcentral. Lineage: Bacteria; Bacillati; Bacillota; Bacilli; Lactobacillales; Streptococcaceae.
CACGUAGUUAGCCGUCCCUUUCUGGUAAGCUACCGUCACAGUGUGAACUUUCCACUCUCACACCCGUUCUUGACUUACAACAGAGCUUUACGAUCCGAAAACCUUCUUCACUCACGCGGCGUUGCUCGGUCAGGGUUGCCCCCAUUGCCGAAGAUUCUCUACUGCUGCCUCCCGUAGGAGUCUGGGCCGUGUCUCAGUCCCAGUGUGGCCGAUCACCCUCUCAGGUCGGCUAUGUAUCGUCGCCUAGGUGAGCCAUUACCUCACCUACUAGCUAAUACAACGCAGGUCCAUCUUGUAGUGGAGCAAUUGCCCCUUUCAAAUAAAUGACAUGUGUCAUCCAUUGUUAUGCGGUAUUAGCUAUCGUUUCCAAUAGUUAUCCCCCGCUACAAGGCAGGUUACCUACGCGUUACUCACCCGUUCGCAACUCAUCCAAGAGAGCAAGCUCCUCUCUUCAGCGUUCUACUUGCAUGUAUUAGGCACGCCGCCAGCGUCGUCCG